UCAGGGAAGAAAGGUUUACCACUCCCACCUGUAACCCCCAAAGCUACAAUUCUAUUAAACUAUUCCCUG
This 69-nucleotide transfer RNA is filed under the name Mithrodia clavigera. RNAcentral describes it as "tRNA-Pro". The record is from RNAcentral. Lineage: Eukaryota; Metazoa; Echinodermata; Asteroidea; Spinulosida; Mithrodiidae.